CUUCCCUGUGGCCCGUUAGUGGAGAGCAGGCCAGGAAAUGAAGCUCGCAACCCUUUAAACGCAGGGCUACUUCGUAAUUAUGUGUUAAAUCUUAAACCAAAAAAAAACGGAAGAAAGCUCAGGAUUAACAAGGAGUAACGAUUACUGGAAAGUUUUAUCUUAUGGGGAUUCAUAAAACCUCGAAUGGCAGUGGAGGAGGGGUAGCAGUGCCUUGAUUCAAAGAUGGAAAUUGCAACAUUAGGUUGCAAUUGGGUCUUCCCAUGCAAAAGCAUUUCUGCAGCAACAUAUUCUGUUGUGGAAUGAAGUAAUAAUCUGUGGUUUAAAAGGCAACAGAGAACAGUAGAGUGCAGUAAUAAGCCCUUUGGCCCAGCGUGUCUGUGUGGAACAGAAUGCCAAGUUACACUAAAUCUCCUCUGCCUUUAAUUUACGUGGAUUUCAGACUUGGAGUGUACCAUAAGUCAGCUCUAUGAUGUAUUCUAGUUCUGGUCACUCUUUUUUGUUACUACUUUUGGGCAAUUUUUAAAUUGAGGCAGCCUGCAGAUAAUGAACACUGAGCUGAAUUGAAAUGAAAUACACCUUUUGACUUUGU
This is a long non-coding RNA of Mobula hypostoma (lesser devil ray), 589 nucleotides long. RefSeq lists it as uncharacterized. The record is from RefSeq and is a predicted model, not a curated record. The transcript is spliced from 3 exons. NCBI's taxonomy places the organism in Eukaryota, Metazoa, Chordata, Chondrichthyes, Myliobatiformes, Myliobatidae.